AUUGAACGCUGGCGGCACGCCUAACACAUGCAAGUCGAGCGGUAACAUGAUUUGUAGCAAUACAAAUCGAUGACGAGCGGCGGACGGGUGAGGAACACGUAGGAAUCUGCCCAGAAGCGGGGGACAACCAAGGGAAACUUUGGCUAAUACCGCGUAAUCUCGCAAGAGUAAAGCUGCCCGCAAGGGUGGCGCUUCUGGAGGAGCCUGCGUCCGAUUAGCUAGUUGGUGAGGUAAGAGCUCACCAAGGCGAUGAUCGGUAACUGGUCUGAGAGGACGACCAGUCACACUGGGACUGAGACACGGCCCAGACUCCUACGGGAGGCAGCAGUGGGGAAUAUUGGACAAUGGGGGCAACCCUGAUCCAGCGAUGCCGCGUGGGUGAAGAAGGCCUUCGGGUUGUAAAGCCCUUUAAGUUGGGAAGAAGUGUACGGGGCGAAUAACCCCGUAUGUUGACGGUACCGACAAAAUGAGCACCGGCAAACUCUGUGCCAGCCGCCGCGGUAA
Molecule: ribosomal RNA, 504 nt
Filed under: uncultured bacterium
Lineage: Bacteria
Description: partial 16S ribosomal RNA
Rfam family: Bacterial small subunit ribosomal RNA
Source: RNAcentral